RNAcentral lists this unclassified non-coding RNA (495 nucleotides) under uncultured Paraglomus. Its description in RNAcentral is "SSU rRNA". It matches the Rfam family "Eukaryotic small subunit ribosomal RNA", at positions 591 to 1092 of the family's 1831-position model. The record is from RNAcentral. Lineage: Eukaryota; Fungi; Glomeromycota; Glomeromycetes; Paraglomerales; Paraglomeraceae.
CCAAUAGCGUAUAUUAAAGUUGUUGUGGUUAAAAAGCUCGUAGUUGAACCUUGGGCCUGGCUGGCCGGUCCGCCUCACCGCGUGUACUGGUCCGGCCGGGCCUUUCCCUCUGUGGAACCUCAUGCCCUUCACUGGGUGUGACGGGGAAGCAGGACUUUUACUGUGAAAAAAUUAGAGUGCUCCAAGCAGGCCUAUGCUCGAAUACAUUAGCAUGGAAUAAUAAAAUAGGACGUGCGGUUCUAUUUUGUUGGUUUCUAGGACCGCCGUAAUGAUUAAUAGGGACAGUCGGGGGCAUCAGUAUUCAAUUGUCAGAGGUGAAAUUCUUGGAUUUAUUGAAGACUAACUACUGCGAAAGCAUUUGCCAAGGAUGUUUUCAUUAAUCAGGAACGAAAGUUAGGGGAUCGAAGACGAUCAGAUACCGUCGUAGUCUUAACCAUAAACUAUGCCGACUAGGGAUCGGACGAUGUUAUUUUUUGACUCGUUCGGCAGCUUCCG